AAGGUCUCUGUCCAAAGCUCCCAUGCUAUCAGGACUUCUGGGCCUCCUGAAGCAGCUCUUGGACUCUUUUUUCCCCUUGUCCACCCAGUACAAGGGGAAACCGUCGAGAAGAGAAGGGUCUUUGUCGUUUGCACGGACCUGGAUGAACUUCCCCUUCCAAUCCUUGUAUGAUUGCUGGAAGAUGGUGAAGAUGGAUCUCCCAGCAAUGGCGUUCAGACUGACCCAAAGGCGAUCGCCUGGGUGUUUGGCCUCAAACAGAAAUAAAAAUACGUCCACUGACGCAGGCAACCCCAGGUGGGCGCACGUUACCUCAAAGGCUCGGACGAACGCCCAGCUGUUGGGGUGAAGCUGGGCGGCG
RNAcentral lists this long non-coding RNA (358 nucleotides) under Phaseolus vulgaris (common bean). RNAcentral describes it as "long non-coding RNA (PVUL_LNC001760)". The record is from RNAcentral. Lineage: Eukaryota; Viridiplantae; Streptophyta; Magnoliopsida; Fabales; Fabaceae.